Molecule: small RNA, 108 nt
Filed under: Marmota monax (woodchuck)
Lineage: Eukaryota; Metazoa; Chordata; Mammalia; Rodentia; Sciuridae
Source: RNAcentral
GUUGGGUGCAGUAGUGCAUACCUGUAAUCCCAGCAACUUUGGAGACAUGAGGCAGGAGGAUCACAAGUUCGAGGCUAGUCUAGAUAACUUAGUGUUACCUUGUCUCAA